This 311-nucleotide ribosomal RNA is filed under the name uncultured eukaryote. RNAcentral describes it as "partial 18S ribosomal RNA". It matches the Rfam family "Eukaryotic small subunit ribosomal RNA", at positions 1470 to 1796 of the family's 1831-position model. The record is from RNAcentral.
CCCUUAGAUGAUUUGGGCUGCACGCGCGCUACACUGACCCUAACAAUGAGCAACUGUCUGGCCUGAGAUGGCUGGGUAGCCUUUUCAACCCAUGUCAUGAUUGGGCUAGAUUUUUGUAAGUCUUGAUCUCUAACGAGGAAUCCCUAGUAUGCGUGAAUCAUCAAUCCAUGCAGAUUAUGUCCCUGCCCUUUGUACACACCGCCCGUCGCUCCUACUGAUUGGGUGAGCUGUUCGGCCAUAGCAAUGUUUCUUGAGCAGGGCAAUGAAUGUUUCGCAAACCUUGCCACUUAGAGGAAGGAGAAGUCGUANCA